Molecule: non-coding RNA, 469 nt
Organism: Odocoileus virginianus texanus
Lineage: Eukaryota; Metazoa; Chordata; Mammalia; Artiodactyla; Cervidae
Source: RefSeq, a predicted model, not a curated record
GCGUGUAACAAAAUCCCUCGGGAGUUUGUCUGGUGGGAGUCCUUUAUCAGACAAAAUUAAUCUGAUCGCCUAAUCCCCAAGGGGUAAACUGAGGAAGCUAUCAAGCUAAGGGGAAGGGUUAGAAAAAAGAGAAGCCACACCAGGCAUUCUGCCUCUAUUACUUCUUUCGACGCUUGUCGCAGCCCCGUGAGGGGAUCACCGGUAUCAUCCCACCUUACAGGGACCAUUAAUUUUUUUAUGGACGAUCAAACCCGGAUACAGUGGAAGGGCCACCACAUGGCUGAUUCAGAAACAGUAACCAAGGCAGCGGAUAUUAAAGGUACAACUGCUUUGACCUUCUAGGCGUCGGUGAGGUUUCCUCCAGCAAUGUGCAUCCUCAGAUGGUCAAAGGGUAGAAAUCCCCACAGAGCAAACUGGCCAAAUGCUGCUAAAACAAAGACAGGUCAUUUUUUAGAAACCUCGCCUAAGG